RNAcentral lists this long non-coding RNA (225 nucleotides) under Elaeis guineensis (African oil palm). Its description in RNAcentral is "long non-coding RNA (EGUI_LNC075838)". The record is from RNAcentral. Lineage: Eukaryota; Viridiplantae; Streptophyta; Magnoliopsida; Arecales; Arecaceae.
CUGGAGUCUGCGUGUCGUAGGAGUUCGUCCGGGAUCUGACCGCUACAGGAGUUCGAUCGGAGUUCGAUCUCCAUAGAAGCCCGGAUGGGGAUCAUUUGUCGAGGGGGCUUGACCGAAGCUUGCCUGCAAUAGAAAUCCAGAAGGAAUUCAUCCACGAUGGAGGCUCGGGUGGAGGCUUACUGUGAGAAUCCGACGCGGACCGCUCGUAGUAGAAAUUUAAAGUAG